RNAcentral lists this ribosomal RNA (434 nucleotides) under uncultured Lachnospiraceae bacterium. Its description in RNAcentral is "partial 16S ribosomal RNA". It matches the Rfam family "Bacterial small subunit ribosomal RNA", at positions 341 to 792 of the family's 1533-position model. The record is from RNAcentral. Lineage: Bacteria; Bacillati; Bacillota; Clostridia; Lachnospirales; Lachnospiraceae.
ACGGGAGGCAGCAGUGGGGAAUAUUGGACAAUGGGGGAAACCCUGAUCCAGCGACGCCGCGUGAGUGAAGAAGUAUUUCGGUAUGUAAAGCUCUAUCAGCAGGGAAGAUAAUGACGGUACCUGACUAAGAAGCCCCGGCUAACUACGUGCCAGCAGCCGCGGUAAUACGUAGGGGGCAAGCGUUAUCCGGAUUUACUGGGUGUAAAGGGAGUGUAGAUGGCAUGGCAAGUCAGAUGUGAAAGCUCGGGGCUCAACCCCGGAACUGCAUUUGAAACUGUCAAGCUGGAGUGCAGGAGAGGAAAGUGGAAUUCCUAGUGUAGCGGUGAAAUGCGUAGAUAUUAGGAAGAACACCAGUGGCGAAGGCGGCUUUCUGGACUGUAACUGACAUUGAGGCUCGAAAGCGUGGGGAGCAAACAGGAUUAGAUACCCUGGUA